GGAGAAGUGGCCGAGCUGGCUGAAGGCGCACGCCUGCUAAGCGUGUAAUGGGGAAACUCAUUCGGGGGUUCAAAUCCCCCCUUCUCCGCCA
This 91-nucleotide transfer RNA is filed under the name Pseudodesulfovibrio senegalensis. RNAcentral's name for it is "Desulfovibrio senegalensis tRNA-Ser". It matches the Rfam family "tRNA". Rfam says of the family: Transfer RNA (tRNA) molecules are approximately 80 nucleotides in length. Their secondary structure includes four short double-helical elements and three loops (D, anti-codon, and T loops). Lineage: Bacteria; Pseudomonadati; Thermodesulfobacteriota; Desulfovibrionia; Desulfovibrionales; Desulfovibrionaceae. The record is from RNAcentral. RNAcentral also lists the same sequence under 1 other name.